ACGCUCGACACCUACUGGAGGCAGCAGUGGGGAAUAUUGCACAAUGGGGGAAACCCUGAUGCAGCGACGCCGCGUGAGCGAAGAAGUAUUUCGGUAUGUAUAGCUCUAUCAGCAGGGAAGAAACUGACGGUACCUGACUAAGAAGCACCGGCUAAAUACGUGCCAGCAGCCGCGGUAAUCUGAGCGGGCUGGCAAGGC
Molecule: ribosomal RNA, 198 nt
Filed under: uncultured bacterium
Lineage: Bacteria
Description: partial 16S ribosomal RNA
Rfam family: Bacterial small subunit ribosomal RNA
Source: RNAcentral